This 532-nucleotide ribosomal RNA is filed under the name Wickerhamomyces silvicola. RNAcentral's name for it is "eukaryotic LSU rRNA". It matches the Rfam family "Eukaryotic large subunit ribosomal RNA", at positions 104 to 651 of the family's 3401-position model. The record is from RNAcentral. Lineage: Eukaryota; Fungi; Ascomycota; Saccharomycetes; Phaffomycetales; Wickerhamomycetaceae.
AAGCUCAAAUUUGAAAUCUAGUACCUUUGGUGCUCGAGUUGUAAUUUGAAGAUAUUUCUUUGGAGUUGGCCCUUGUCUAUGUUCCUUGGAACAGGACGUCAUAGAGGGUGAGAAUCCCGUCUGAUGGGGUGUCCAACUCUUUGUAAAGUUUUAUCGAAGAGUCGAGUUGUUUGGGAAUGCAGCUCUAAGUGGGUGGUAAAUUCCAUCUAAAGCUAAAUAUUGGCGAGAGACCGAUAGCGAACAAGUACAGUGAUGGAAAGAUGAAAAGAACUUUGAAAAGAGAGUGAAAAAGUACGUGAAAUUGUUGAAAGGGAAGGAUAUUAGAUCAGACUUGGUGUUUUACGAUUAUCUUCCCUUCUUGGGUUGUGCACUCGUGCUACACUGGGCCAGCAUCGAUUCGGACGGUAAGAUAAUGACUUAGGAACGUGGCACUCCUUCGGGAGUGUGUUAUAGCCUGUGUUGAUGUUGCCUGUCUGGAUCGAGGACUGCGUCUUUUGACUAGGAUGUUGGCGUAAUGAUCUAAUAUCGCCCG